UAAACUAGGAUUAGAUACCCUAUUAUUCAUGGAAUAAAUAAAGUCGAAAAAUACGAACCACAGUUUAAAACUUAAAGAUUUUGGCGGUGUCUCAUCGAACCAGGGGAACCUGUCUCAUAACUCGAUAAUCCACGAACACCUUACCUCCCCUAGACUUAACAGCUUGUGUACUGCCGUCGUAAGCACACCUCUAAAAGAAUAAGUAUGCAAUCAUGAUCAAUCUCAUAUACGUCAGGUCAAAGUGCAGCUAAUGGGAAGGUGAUGAUGGGUUACAACCUAGAUAAAGAUACGAAAUAAAGUUCUAAUAGCUAUAUAAAGGUGGACUUGGAUGUAAUAAUGACUCAAUACCAAAAUGAAAACGAAUCUAAGACAUGCACACAUCGCCCGUCGCUCUU
RNAcentral lists this ribosomal RNA (395 nucleotides) under Octolasion cyaneum. RNAcentral describes it as "partial 12S ribosomal RNA". It matches the Rfam family "Bacterial small subunit ribosomal RNA", at positions 768 to 1404 of the family's 1533-position model. Lineage: Eukaryota; Metazoa; Annelida; Clitellata; Crassiclitellata; Lumbricidae. The record is from RNAcentral.